CAUUUACAUGGUAGACCAACGAGACACAGUUGCUGUCCAUAAUCCUAAAUCAUUUGUAAUUAUAAAACAUUACUCUUCAUGGGGAGACUAAUAGGAAAUAUUGCCCAGUACCCCAGAUUUCUGUAUCCCGCUAGAAACUUCUCUCACCAGCCUCUGCUGGAUUUAAAGAUGAAAGCCUUUUUGUCAUGGUGCUCCAUGAACAGUCAGACACAAGCAAGAAGUUCAGCCCCAUAAAUAACAGACACACUAGAAAACCAUAUUUUCCCCCUGCCACAUCUGUCAGGAAAAAGGGAAAAAUGGGACAACUACCAAGCUGGCAUGCAGGGCAGUUCCCUGUUCUGCUGGCAGUAUGUUCCAGUAAGAGCCUUGAAAGCUAAUCUCAUUUUCUUGUUAGUUUCCAGCCUCUUGAUCAGUGCAGAUGCGGGACCCUUCAGUACAAUCUCACGACUGGGAUGAGAAGUGGCCCGGAGAAUCCAUUAGGUGUGCCUCGACCUGCCAAAUCAAGCUGCAUGCCAGAUAAUGCCGAUGUGCAGAGAUUUUUGGGGAAUUCCGUGAGCACUGUUCAAGCUGCUGCAGGGUGCAGCACUUGGGUUUUUUUAAUGUGGCACACGCUCUCUUUGAACUUUCUAUUUCCUUGAAAUUUAAUUUUCUGGGUUUUUUUUUCAAGGUACUUCGCUAAAAUAAUAAGGGGCCUGCCCCUAAGCUCCACCUUCAUGUCUCACAGCUCUCCAAACCCCGUGGACUGUGUUUAUCGCCUGGCAGAUAAGGGACAAAUUGAAGAAGAAAUCUGAGUCUUCUUCCCACUCUGCCUAGACACAUCUUACUCUUCACCGCUGCAAGUUUCGCGCACCGCUUCCCAGCCAGGUCUGCUCCCCUUCCACCCCACCCUCCUCUCCGUCCCUGGAUUUCCCCUCACGGAGUUCUUCCGAGCCGCUGUAGCAGCAGGCGAGGCUCGGGGCCCCGCUCCGGACCGCGCGGCUCCAGAGCCGCCCCGGGGGCUCGUUUGGGGCUGGGAACACGAGGGGACCCUUCUAUCCCGGGAGCCGCAGAGGAGUUGGCUUCCAACGCUACCGGUCCUGCCGGAGGACGCCCUAAAGGAAGCAGGACGAAGGAGUGAAGACUGCCGGGGUCACUUUCAAUUGAGACUGUCUCCCUCCAUUGGAACAGUGACAGCUCUUCCUGGUGGUAUUUCUAAGCUCAUAUGCAGGAUGUUGAAGAGACUGUCUCACACAAAAGUCUUCAAAGGCUGCAGGGACUUCUUUGGCAGUGAGAACUAAAGCAUGACUGCCAUCCAGGAAGUGACUGGUUUUUUCCUUCCAUUUCCCUGAAAAACUUGUGAAAUUCCUGAGAAGCACAACUUUUUUCUGAAGUUCUGAAGAUUUUUUCUGAGUUCUGAAGCUCAUAUGAACAAAAAGGAGGACAUUUUUUUUUUUAGCUCUGC
RNAcentral lists this long non-coding RNA (1441 nucleotides) under Ficedula albicollis (Collared flycatcher). RNAcentral's name for it is "lncRNA (ENSFALG00000028091.1)". The record is from RNAcentral. Lineage: Eukaryota; Metazoa; Chordata; Aves; Passeriformes; Muscicapidae.